AGACUAAAUGAUUUUUUCCUAUUCAUAGGCACCACACCUAGAUAAAGUAUUCAUUCCUUUUUUCUCGUGCUCAAAGCUAAGAGCGGCCACCCUACACAGUUUUGAUUAUUUUAAUAAUAAUAACUAAUGUCUUUACCUGUAAAACCGGUUUCUCGAGCUCAGCACUCACAGCCAUUUUUAAACCUGUCUCUUAAGCGUCCUUCGAUAUCUAAUAAUAGAAUCUAGUAAUUCCUAAGUAAGGGUAUUUCCGAUGAAUCCUAGUCUAGAUCUAAGUAACCGCAACACUUUCUCAAACAAAUUUGACCUAUCCAUGCAGUUCUAGAUCUUGAUCUAGAGAUCUAGAAUCUAUUAGUCCUCAUAGUCAUAAUCAAAUUAUCCAUAAUAAUAAAUCCGCUACGGUACACUUAGAGUACUUAGACUGACUAUUAACUUAAUACAGUACACUUUUGACUUUAUAGUCUGGACAAACUGAGGCUUGCUCCCAGGGGCAGACUGGAUGUCAAAACCGGCCCAGGCAUUUUCACGCAAUCCGACCUACAAAUAGUGUGUCAGAUGAUGGGCGUCCAAUCAUACACGUCCUCAGAAGCAUUGUGUAAAUUUUAAUAAUGUAUCGAAAGUAGAAUCCAGCAACCAUUGGCAAAAAACAAACCCCAUUUGGGCAGUUGUUUGAGACAAACAUCUAUAAAAAAAAAAAGCUAACAAGAUCCUCGAAAUAAAGAAUCAUCCUUUGUGUCAGGAUUUUGUGAUUUUAUCAUCGCAAAAGAGAUACAAGACACCGAUAGCAAAGACAAAAAGACACAAACACUCUUUUGUUCCCCUGGCAAUCAAAUCAUUAAAUAAGAACAAUCUGGUAUAAACUUUGUCACAUGUAAAUUAUGAGUGAGUCUGGUGUGAAUGUACACUUUUGGUUUUUUAUAGUUAUAAUGUUUUUUUGUUUUGUGUAAUGCACAAAUUGUAAGACAAAUUUCCAUACGAACAAUAAAGAUUAUUAUUAUUAAUAGUUAGUACUUAUUUUCUGCUUCUUCUUUUUAUAUUCUUUUCCAUUUUGAUUCCAAAUCAACACAUUUCAACACUGUUCAAGAUAAUAGGCCUAAUUGUGAUUUGUGAAGGACUUCGUAGCGGGACCAACUCGAGAUCAUGCGGCAACUUCACCAAACCAAUAAGAAUUCGUAUGCGACUGGACAUGUCAUCUAUAGGACUUAGAACGUUGUUGUUGAUCCCUUUAUAGACUCAUCCGAAUAUAUUCACACUAACGUCUCUAUAAGAAAUAAAGGCCUUAAGUUUCUUGUUUAUCGUUUAGUGACGUCCACUAGAAGCACUAUAUAUAUAUAUAUGUAUGUAUGUAUGUAUAUAUAGACAUACGGAUGAAGGAUAUUUACGACAAUGCUUUACAUGAGUGUUAGACAUGGUUAGACUUAAAAAGUGUAAAAGAUAAUGUAUUAAUCACGACGCUCAAAGUGUUAUCUUUAAAGAGAAUAACAUAAAUCUUGAAACAAUUUACUGACAUUCAUGAGGCCCUUUCGGUGACCCUACCGGCCAAAUGGGGUACCGGCCCACCCGGCAUUUGCCCGAAUGCCCAUAUAGCCAGUCCGCCCCUGCUUGCUCCCCUAUAUGACAAGUUUAAUGAGAUCUCCCUGGCAUUCUUCAUAGAGUCACAUUUGUAUGUCCUAAAUUGGGCAAUAUCAAUUUUUUAGGAGGGUCACAAAAGACAGAUUAUUAAUCAAAAGUGAAAGCAUUAUAUAUAGUUAUAUAUAGGCCAAUCAGUGCUGCCCAAUUAGCCUAACUAAGUCAGCCUGGGGGGGGGGGGGGUAUAAAUUUCAGACACAUAUAUGUCACGGGUCGAAGCACAGAAAAUAAAAUUGUCGAUUUUAAAGGAACCGAAGACAUGCGUCAUAACUUGAUAAUGCACUGUAAGUAGAAGUUUUGAGAUCUGGAUAAUAACGCCUCACGGGCCGAGUGUGGCAUGUUUUUGGGGCAUCACUGCACUAAAUAGAACUAGGACUAUUACUACAUUUUAUAUUCCUGACUGAGGACUUUUCAGGCAGCUAUAGUAUCCCUGGAUAAUGUAAAAGAAUGGACCGGCUCAUCUCUUGAUAUCUUGCUAAGAACAGCUGCUGACCGGGAGGGAGGGAUUUGGUUACGCGAACUGUCACAGCACCCCUGCUACGACGAAAAUCAAAUGACAAAAUCAAGAUGAGAGUAGGCCUAUCGCUUCAAAAAAAAAAAGGGGGGGGGGGGGAUUUGCAUGUUUUUACCUACAUUAAGUGUGUGUAUG
Biomphalaria glabrata is the source of this 2275-nucleotide long non-coding RNA. RefSeq lists it as uncharacterized. The record is from RefSeq and is a predicted model, not a curated record. Lineage: Eukaryota; Metazoa; Mollusca; Gastropoda; Planorbidae. The transcript is spliced from 3 exons.